UUAAGCGACUAAGCGUACACGGUGGAUGCCCUGGCAGUCAGAGGCGAUGAAGGACGUGCUAAUCUGCGAUAAGCGUCGGUAAGGUGAUAUGAACCGUUAUAACCGGCGAUUUCCGAAUGGGGAAACCCAGUGUGUUUCGACACACUAUCAUUAACUGAAUCCAUAGGUUAAUGAGGCGAACCGGGGGAACUGAAACAUCUAAGUACCCCGAGGAAAAGAAAUCAACCGAGAUUCCCCCAGUAGCGGCGAGCGAACGGGGAGCAGCCCAGAGCCUGAAUCAGUGUGUGUGUUAGUGGAAGCGUCUGGAAAGGCGCGCGAUACAGGGUGACAGCCCCGUACACAAAAAUGCACAUGCUGUGAGCUCGAUGAGUAGGGCGGGACACGUGGUAUCCUGUCUGAAUAUGGGGGGACCAUCCUCCAAGGCUAAAUACUCCUGACUGACCGAUAGUGAACCAGUACCGUGAGGGAAAGGCGAAAAGAACCCCGGCGAGGGAGUGAAAAGAACCUGAAACCGUGUACGUACAAGCAGUGGGAGCACGCUUAGGCGUGUGACUGCGUACCUUUGUAUAAUGGGUCAGCGACUUAUAUUCUGUAGCAAGGUUAACCGAAUAGGGGAGCCGAAGGAAACCGAGUCUUAACUGGGCGUUAAGUUGCAGGGUAUAGACCCGAAACCCGGUGAUUCAGCCAUGGGCAGGUUGAAGGUUGGGUAACACUAACUGGAGGACCGAACCGACUAAUGUUGAAAAAUUAGCGGAUGACUUGUGGCUGGGGGUGAAAGGCCAAUCAAACCGGGAGAUAGCUGGUUCUCCCCGAAAGCUAUUUAGGUAGCGCCUCGUGAAUUCAUCUCCGGGGGUAGAGCACUGUUUCGGCAAGGGGGUCAUCCCGACUUACCAACCCGAUGCAAACUGCGAAUACCGGAGAAUGUUAUCACGGGAGACACACGGCGGGUGCUAACGUCCGUCGUGAAGAGGGAAACAACCCAGACCGCCAGCUAAGGUCCCAAAGUCAUGGUUAAGUGGGAAACGAUGUGGGAAGGCCCAGACAGCCAGGAUGUUGGCUUAGAAGCAGCCAUCAUUUAAAGAAAGCGUAAUAGCUCACUGGUCGAGUCGGCCUGCGCGGAAGAUGUAACGGGGCUAAACCAUGCACCGAAGCUGCGGCAGCGACACUAUGUGUUGUUGGGUAGGGGAGCGUUCUGUAAGCCUGUGAAGGUGUGCUGUGAGGCAUGCUGGAGGUAUCAGAAGUGCGAAUGCUGACAUAAGUAACGAUAAAGCGGGUGAAAAGCCCGCUCGCCGGAAGACCAAGGGUUCCUGUCCAACGUUAAUCGGGGCAGGGUGAGUCGACCCCUAAGGCGAGGCCGAAAGGCGUAGUCGAUGGGAAACAGGUUAAUAUUCCUGUACUUGGUGUUACUGCGAAGGGGGGACGGAGAAGGCUAUGUUGGCCGGGCGACGGUUGUCCCGGUUUAAGCGUGUAGGCUGGUUUUCCAGGCAAAUCCGGAAAAUCAAGGCUGAGGCGUGAUGACGAGGCACUACGGUGCUGAAGCAACAAAUGCCCUGCUUCCAGGAAAAGCCUCUAAGCAUCAGGUAACAUCAAAUCGUACCCCAAACCGACACAGGUGGUCAGGUAGAGAAUACCAAGGCGCUUGAGAGAACUCGGGUGAAGGAACUAGGCAAAAUGGUGCCGUAACUUCGGGAGAAGGCACGCUGAUAUGUAGGUGAAGUCCCUCGCGGAUGGAGCUGAAAUCAGUCGAAGAUACCAGCUGGCUGCAACUGUUUAUUAAAAACACAGCACUGUGCAAACACGAAAGUGGACGUAUACGGUGUGACGCCUGCCCGGUGCCGGAAGGUUAAUUGAUGGGGUUAGCCGCAAGGCGAAGCUCUUGAUCGAAGCCCCGGUAAACGGCGGCCGUAACUAUAACGGUCCUAAGGUAGCGAAAUUCCUUGUCGGGUAAGUUCCGACCUGCACGAAUGGCGUAAUGAUGGCCAGGCUGUCUCCACCCGAGACUCAGUGAAAUUGAACUCGCUGUGAAGAUGCAGUGUACCCGCGGCAAGACGGAAAGACCCCGUGAACCUUUACUAUAGCUUGACACUGAACAUUGAGCCUUGAUGUGUAGGAUAGGUGGGAGGCUUUGAAGUGUGGACGCCAGUCUGCAUGGAGCCGACCUUGAAAUACCACCCUUUAAUGUUUGAUGUUCUAACGUUGACCCGUAAUCCGGGUUGCGGACAGUGUCUGGUGGGUAGUUUGACUGGGGCGGUCUCCUCCUAAAGAGUAACGGAGGAGCACGAAGGUUGGCUAAUCCUUGGUCGGACAUCAGGAGGUUAGUGCAAUGGCAUAAGCCAGCUUGACUGCGAGCGUGACGGCGCGAGCAGGUGCGAAAGCAGGUCAUAGUGAUCCGGUGGUUCUGAAUGGAAGGGCCAUCGCUCAACGGAUAAAAGGUACUCCGGGGAUAACAGGCUGAUACCGCCCAAGAGUUCAUAUCGACGGCGGUGUUUGGCACCUCGAUGUCGGCUCAUCACAUCCUGGGGCUGAAGUAGGUCCCAAGGGUAUGGCUGUUCGCCAUUUAAAGUGGUACGCGAGCUGGGUUUAGAACGUCGUGAGACAGUUCGGUCCCUAUCUGCCGUGGGCGCUGGAGAACUGAGGGGGGCUGCUCCUAGUACGAGAGGACCGGAGUGGACGCAUCACUGGUGUUCGGGUUGUCAUGCCAAUGGCACUGCCCGGUAGCUAAAUGCGGAAGAGAUAAGUGCUGAAAGCAUCUAAGCACGAAACUUGCCCCGAGAUGAGUUCUCCCUGACUCCUUGAGAGUCCUGAAGGAACGUUGAAGACGACGACGUUGAUAGGCCGGGUGUGUAAGCGCAGCGAUGCGUUGAGCUAACCGGUACUAAUGAACCGUGAGGCUUAACCU
Molecule: ribosomal RNA, 2899 nt
Filed under: Escherichia coli
Lineage: Bacteria; Pseudomonadati; Pseudomonadota; Gammaproteobacteria; Enterobacterales; Enterobacteriaceae
Description: bacterial LSU rRNA
Rfam family: Bacterial large subunit ribosomal RNA
Source: RNAcentral